RNAcentral lists this long non-coding RNA (260 nucleotides) under Mus musculus (house mouse). RNAcentral's name for it is "predicted gene, 50015". The record is from RNAcentral. Lineage: Eukaryota; Metazoa; Chordata; Mammalia; Rodentia; Muridae.
CCACGGUACAUGUGUUCCUGGAUUGCUGCUGUACAUGUGUGCCAGGUGGCCCCUCAAGUCCCUGUUCGACUGUCCUGUGGGUCCGGACAAACUGGUGCCCGGAACGUUUGGCUUCCCGGUGAUUGCUGAGGAAGAGAACACUGCUCAUCAUUGGAGGGUAGGCCUACCCGCUCAUCUCAGGAAGCUUCAGUUUUGCACAACGCCACAGUCCACCCAACUGUGAGACCAUCUGGGAAAGAGAACAUAACCAGUGCAGAUCU